This 253-nucleotide ribosomal RNA is filed under the name uncultured bacterium. RNAcentral describes it as "partial 16S ribosomal RNA". It matches the Rfam family "Bacterial small subunit ribosomal RNA", at positions 524 to 776 of the family's 1533-position model. The record is from RNAcentral.
UACGUAGGGGGCAAGCGUUGUCCGGAUUUAUUGGGUUUAAAGGGUGCGUAGGCGGCCCUGUAAGUCAGUGCUGAAAUAUCCCGGCUUAACCGGGAGGGUGGCAUUGAUACUGCGGGGCUAGAGUACAGAUGAGGUAGGCGGAAUUGACGGUGUAGCGGUGAAAUGCUUAGAUAUCGUCAAGAACACCGAUAGUGAAGACAGCUUACCAAGCUUCAACUGACGCUGAGGCACGAAAGUGUGGGGAUCAAACAGG